GAGAGCACAGUACGAUGAAAGUUGUAAGCUGUGUUCGGGGGAAUUAUUGUCUAUCGUUGGCCUCUAUGGUAGAAUCAGUCGGGGACCUGAGAGGGUGGUUUACCCUGC
Non-coding RNA from Ipomoea nil (Japanese morning glory), 108 nucleotides. Lineage: Eukaryota; Viridiplantae; Streptophyta; Magnoliopsida; Solanales; Convolvulaceae. The record is from Rfam.